AGUGAACGCUGGCGGUAGGCCUAACACAUGCAAGUCGAACGGCAGAACCGAGGAGCUUGCUCCUUGGGUGCCGAGUGGCGGACGGGGGAGGAAUACGUCGGAAACUACUCCGUCGUGGGGGAUAACGUCGGGAAACGUACGCUAAUCCCGCAUACGACCGACGCGUGAAAGCAGGGGAUCAUGGGCCCUUGCGCGCUGCAAUGAGGCGAUGUCGGAUUGGCUGGUGGGCGGGGUAAGGGCCCACCAAGGCGACGAGCGGUAGCUGGUCUGAGGGGACGAUCAGCCACACUGGGACUGGGCCACGGUCCAGACUCCUACGGGAGGCAGCAGUGGGGAAUAUUGGACAAUGGGCGCAAGCCUGAUCCAGCCAUACCGCGUGGGUGAAGAAGGCCUUCGGGUUGUAAAGCCCUUUUGUUGGGAAAAAAAUCCAUCUGGUUAAUACCCGGAUGGGAUGACGGUACCCAAAGAAUAAGCACCGGCUAACUUCGUGCCAGCCGCCGCCGUAA
This 506-nucleotide ribosomal RNA is filed under the name uncultured bacterium. Its description in RNAcentral is "partial 16S ribosomal RNA". It matches the Rfam family "Bacterial small subunit ribosomal RNA", at positions 30 to 523 of the family's 1533-position model. The record is from RNAcentral.